UCCCUGGUGGCUCAGAGGUUAAAGUGUCUGCCUCCAAUGCAGGAGACCCGGGUUUGAUCCCUGGGUCGGGAA
This 72-nucleotide transfer RNA is filed under the name Bos taurus (domestic cattle). It matches the Rfam family "tRNA". Rfam says of the family: Transfer RNA (tRNA) molecules are approximately 80 nucleotides in length. Their secondary structure includes four short double-helical elements and three loops (D, anti-codon, and T loops). Lineage: Eukaryota; Metazoa; Chordata; Mammalia; Artiodactyla; Bovidae. The record is from Rfam by way of RNAcentral. RNAcentral also lists the same sequence under 6 other names.